CGGCAUCUUGAUGGUGACCUGGUAAAGGUCCGGCGCCCGAUGGAGCUGUCUCCGAUUAUCUGCUUGGUGAUGAAAGUAGCUCAUCACCGCGACGAUCAGUAGUCGACCUGAUAAGAUGAUCGACCGCCUUGCUACUGCUAAAAGACCCACACUACUCCUAGAGGAAGCAGUGGUGAAUAUUGCUCCACGAUGGGGACCCUCCAUGCUGAUGCGACGCCUGAUGGAAGACGGCCGUCUUCUUGUAGACUUCUCCUGUUGGGACACUAGAACUGUAGAGUAACCUACUGAAGAAGCCACGGCUAACUACGUGCCAGCAGCCGCGGUAAUACGAAUGUUGCAAGCGUUGUCCGGAAUCACUGGGUGUAAAGGGUGUGUAGGCGGGAUUGCAAGUCAGAUGUGAAAUCCCACGGCUUAACCCUGGAAUUGCAUUUGAUACUAUAAGGCUUGAGUGCUGGAGAGGAAAGCGGAAUUCCUAGUGUAGCGGUGAAAUGCUCAGAUAUCAGGAAGAACGCCGGUGGCGAAGGCGGCUCACUGGACCGUUACUGACGCUGAGGCGCGAAAGCGUGGGGAGCAAACAGGAUUAGAUACCCUGGUAGUCCACGCUGUAAACGAUGGAUACUAGGUGUAGGAAGGAUCUAACUUUUCUGUGCCGGAGUUAAUGCAUUAAGUGUCCCACCUGGGGAGUAUGGUCGCAAGGCUGAAACUCAAAGGAAUUGACGGGGGCUCACACAAGCAGUUAAGGAUGUGGUUCAAUUCGAAGCAACGCGA
RNAcentral lists this ribosomal RNA (768 nucleotides) under uncultured organism. RNAcentral's name for it is "bacterial SSU rRNA". It matches the Rfam family "Bacterial small subunit ribosomal RNA", at positions 180 to 964 of the family's 1533-position model. The record is from RNAcentral.